Molecule: non-coding RNA, 30 nt
Filed under: Rattus norvegicus (Norway rat)
Lineage: Eukaryota; Metazoa; Chordata; Mammalia; Rodentia; Muridae
Source: RNAcentral
UGAGAUCCCUUGCCUCAGGAAUCUGCAGCU